Molecule: long non-coding RNA, 3813 nt
Filed under: Citrus sinensis (sweet orange)
Lineage: Eukaryota; Viridiplantae; Streptophyta; Magnoliopsida; Sapindales; Rutaceae
Description: long non-coding RNA (CSIN_LNC000348)
Source: RNAcentral
UCAGCCAUUGUGACAACAUUAUCACGAACCCGGAUUCUUGCAGGAACACCAGUGAUGAAAGCAACUAGCUUCUUUGAACUUUUGACACGAACACCAAUGUGCCAGCUCUUGAAAUAACCCGGUGGACGCAGAGCCCAGCGGAGAAACUCCUUUGAAUAGUUAAAUCUGAACAUAUUCUCAUCAUCCUCAACAUAGUUGUUAGUGAGUAGAAUAUAAAUCUCAGCACACAUCUCCUCAGAGUCAAUGUCGCAAGUGACCCAUUCGUACAGGUUCGGAAGAUUGUAGGGUUCUUGUUUGACUUCAGAUAAGAGUUUCGGGGGUUCAAUAGGUCCUUCAGGCAAACUGGUGUCUCCUAUCUCCUUGAAUUGCCCAACAGGUUGUGUUUCCCAAAAUUUGUGUCUAUGUCCAAGAGCAAGUGACUCUUGGACCUUUUGAGCAAGUAGGUCAAGUGAAAUAUCACUCCCAGAGGGUGGACUUUCAUCAGGCUCAAGGUUUUCAGUUUCUUCAGGGGCACCCGAAUAUCCAUUGCUAUCAGCCAUUUCGAAAAAAUCUCAGAGGUCAGUCUGCAAGACUGAAAUACCGCAAUCUUAUUACGACCCAAUCGUAUGCUUUGAAAGGCAAUAAGCAAGAGAAAAUAAUGUUUGAAGUUUUUUAUGUUACAGUAUAUCAAAUACCUAACUCCAUUGAGUUUUAAAAAACAGUAUUUGGCACAGACUAAAUUAGCCAAUACAACAUCAAUAUCAAAAUACAGAAAGUAGUAUCAUACUUGGUUUUAUAAAGAACCAAGUACGAUAUAGAAAAGGCAGCAAUUUCAAUUAUCAGAACGAAAUCAAGAUUCAUGACAACAAAAGGGGAUAUAAAUUUGAGUCAACCAAUAAAAGGGACUCGCAAAAAUGUUGGAAACAAAAACCAAUGAAACAGGUACAUUAUGUUCAUAUUCAAGUACUAUAAAUCAACAUCAAAUCUACAAUAUACAUCAAAUUAAGCCCCAUGAGCAAUAGAUCGCUUGAGCCUAAACUACAUCAUGAUGUAAGACUUUCAUUUUGUUAAAACCUAGCAACCAACAAUACUGUCCAAUCACUAAAACUGUAUCAUAUAUCCAUGAACAGCAACAAGAACAAGCAAAAACCAAAACGAAUUUGCCUCAGAGUCAUACAAUUGCAUACAGCAGUGAAAGAACCGAUUAAAAUCACAAACCCAAAAACCACAAAUAUCUAGAGACAGAAAAAGUUAAAUCCUUUUUACUUUCCUUCUCCUUUUACAUACUUUCCCAGCAUCCAAACAUACAAACACGUUCCAAAAAACAAAAAAUUCCUAAAAACUCGGAAACAGCAAACAUACAUUUCCAAGAUCUACACUGUCAAACAAUUAUCAGAACAGCUAAAGAAACACCAAAACUCCACUUAAUCGUGUUUACUGAUGUAUUUCCUUAGUGAGUCUUGCAAAGUUUUGAUUUUUCGUUGUUUGAAAACAGGGGGAAAAAAGCAUCAAACAUAAGAUCAGAACUCAUAUUUUUAUCUUCUUUUAUUCAAUUUGCUUUCAAACCCAUUAAGCGAUAUGCUUAUAUUACCUCGCGAUUUAAUGCGGAGAAAACUGAAGCAAUGAUCCAAGCUUUCGCAAAGAGAGAGAGAGAGAGAGAGAGAGGGUGUAAGCAGAGUUGGGCUUUGGAGAGACCGAAGAAGAGAAUAAAGUUACAACAAAGACUGGAAAUCCGAAGUCCCAAUGGGUUUUGUAAUUUUAAUUGUGUAGGAAGGGUAUAAUUGGAAAUUUUGAUAAUAACACACACUCAUAUGGGUUAAAAAUUGAUAAUUAGCUUGUUUUGAAACAAUAAUACAAAAGAUCACAAAAGGCCAUUAAAUGAAGAUGUUGCUCUGCACAUUUUUUUUCAAGAAACAGCUCACGGUCUUCCUUGAGAAGACAGAUAUAUGGAAUGAUUAGAGACAACUUGGAAAAAUAAAAUUCCUCAUGCACAUUGCCUGGAUUGUGUAUCCUGGUAACUGAUGUGCCUUUGUCCCAUUAUUGAUGAUUAGAAUUUAAUUUUGUGUUGCUGGAGGAGCAGUUUCCAAAUUGUUUCAAUUGUACGCGUGCAUGCAUGCCUUUCUUCUCAGGUGGGAAUAUAAUGCAUUGAUGUUCCUCCCUGUAUUCAUAGUUCAUCCAUUAUAAUGCACGCACAUCAGAACUCAAGCCAAUCUGUAGCUUCUUAGCAAGACUCUCAUUGUUCACCAGCAAAGCAACGUGAAAAGUUUAAAUAGCCACUUGGAAAACAAGAAUUGCUUUUUAACAUUACAAUCAUCACUGAAUCCUAACAAUAACUAACAAGUGCAACAUUUGAAACGUGCCUAAGAAUUUCAGUCUGAUAAAGUUCACAAAUUUUGUUUGAAAAUUUAGCACAAUAAUAUCUAACAUCUAAACUUGGCUUUGCUGCAAUUUAACAUACUCAUACAACCAAAACUAUAAGCAAACUUCGUCUAGAGUGCUUCUGUCAGUCUCAUACCUCAAAUGAGAUUUUCAGCACUCAAAACUACAGGAGUACAAGACCAAGUUCUGAAGGGAGUACCGCCUGUCUUAUGCGAUAGUUGUAAAGAUAAUAGUGCAAUUUUCCAUCACCUGGUCCAAAUUUCAGUUCCUUCAAGAAAGAUUCAUUUUGCAUAACAUCCAAUGCAUUGAAAACAUCAAAGUCCUUCUGCUUUGCCACGAUAAGAGCAUCAUUCAUCAAUUGAAGCAAAGGAGUCUUUGUGGAAACAUUAUAAUAUGAGUAGGCUGCCUUCAAAGUGGAAUAGUUUGGGUUGCCAAGAAUUGAAGAGGGAAGGGUAUAAAAGCUGCAGAAAUCAGUGAUCUCAUGGGUUUCAGGACUUGCAACCAGAAAACUAUCCACGACAUUCUCCUUUGGAAGAAGCCAAUGCUCCACAUCAUUUUCAUCAAAGUCUGGUGCAAUAGCAAACUGGCUCAAGUACUCCCUAAGAAGCCGUGUAACAGCAGGAACAUCAUGAGGCUCCAUCUUUCUGAACCCUGGAGUGACUGUCGACUCCGGUAACUUGUAAAGUUUAAUCGUUCGACUCAUUGUCAUUCUUGCACCCAGUCUAGAAAACCCAACAUCAAUCAGCUUCUUUGGAUUCAAAGACCUAUGCCAAUACUGGCAAGUUGAUACAGGAGUUGGAAGGACCACUCCAGCAGUAUAAGCUGCUUGCCAGAUAUUCUCCAAAUGAACCCUCCUGGUCACUUCUUUGAUCAUGACAGGAGCUAGUCUUUUCGAUCUCAGCUUUUUAUGAACACACAGGAAAUUUACCUCAGCCAUUGUGACAACAUUAUCACGAACCCGGAUUCUUGCAGGAACACCAGUGAUGAAAGCAACUAGCUUCUUUGAACUUUUGACACGAACACCAAUGUGCCAGCUCUUGAAAUAACCCGGUGGACGCAGAGCCCAGCGGAGAAACUCCUUUGAAUAGUUAAAUCUGAACAUAUUCUCAUCAUCCUCAACAUAAUUGUUAGUGAGAAGAUUAUAAACCUCAGCACACAUCUCCUCAGAGUCAAUGUUGCAAGUGACCCAUUCGUACAGGUUCGGAAGAUUGUAGGGUUCUUGUUUGACUUCAGAUAAGAGUUUUGGGGGUUCAAUAGGUCCUUCGGGCAAACUGGUGUCUCCUAUCUCCUUGAAUUGCCCAACAGGUUGUGUUUCCCAAAAUUUGUGUCUAUUUCCAAGAGCAAGUGACUCUUGAACCUUUUGAGCAAGUAGAUCAAGUGAAACGUCACUCUCAGAGGGUGCAUUUUCAUUGGGCAUGAGAUUUUGAGUUUCUUCAGGUACGCCGGUAGAUCCAU